CGGACGGGUGAGUAAUGUCUGGGAAACUGCCUGAUGGAGGGGGGUAACUACUGGAAACGGUAGCUAAUACCGCAUAACGUCGCAAGACCAAAGAGGGGGACCCUCGGGCCUCUUGCCAUCGGAUGUGCCCAGAUGGGAUUAGCUAGUAGGUGGGGUAACGGCUCACCUAGGCGACGAUCCCUAGCUGGUCUGAGAGGAUGACCAGCCACACUGGAACUGAGACACGGUCCAG
Molecule: ribosomal RNA, 232 nt
Filed under: uncultured bacterium
Lineage: Bacteria
Description: partial 16S ribosomal RNA
Rfam family: Bacterial small subunit ribosomal RNA
Source: RNAcentral